RNAcentral lists this transfer RNA (73 nucleotides) under Lactobacillus taiwanensis. RNAcentral describes it as "tRNA-Asn". It matches the Rfam family "tRNA". From Rfam's summary of the family: Transfer RNA (tRNA) molecules are approximately 80 nucleotides in length. Their secondary structure includes four short double-helical elements and three loops (D, anti-codon, and T loops). Lineage: Bacteria; Bacillati; Bacillota; Bacilli; Lactobacillales; Lactobacillaceae. The record is from RNAcentral.
UGCGAAUUAGCUCAGUUGGUAGAGCAGUGGACUGUUAAUCCAUUUGUCGUCAGUUCGAGUCUGACAUUCGCAG